UACGAAGGGGCUAGCGUUGUUCGGAAUUACUGGGCGUAAAGGGCGCGUAGGCGGGAUGGCAAGUCGGUCGUGAAAUCCCUCGGCUCAACCGAGGAACGUCGAUCGAUACUGCUGUUCUUGAGGAUUGCAGAGGAGACUGGAAUUCCCGGUGUAGCGGUGAAAUGUGUAGAGAUCGGAGGAAGACCAGUGGCGAAGGCGGGUCUCUGGACAGUUCCUGACACUGAGGCACGAAGGCCAGGGAGCAACGGGAGUU
This 253-nucleotide ribosomal RNA is filed under the name uncultured bacterium. RNAcentral describes it as "partial 16S ribosomal RNA". It matches the Rfam family "Bacterial small subunit ribosomal RNA", at positions 524 to 780 of the family's 1533-position model. The record is from RNAcentral.